Molecule: ribosomal RNA, 468 nt
Filed under: uncultured bacterium
Lineage: Bacteria
Description: partial 16S ribosomal RNA
Rfam family: Bacterial small subunit ribosomal RNA
Source: RNAcentral
GACGAACGCUGGCGGCGUGCUUAACACAUGCAAGUCGAACGGAAAGGCCCUGCUUUUGUGGGGUGCUCGAGUGGCGAACGGGUGAGUAACACGUGAGUAACCUGCCCUUGACUUUGGGAUAACUUCGGGAAACUGGGGCUAAUACCGGAUAGGAGCUCCUGCUGCAUGGUGGGGGUUGGAAAGUUUCGGCGGUUGGGGAUGGACUCGCGGCUUAUCAGCUUGUUGGUGGGGUAGUGGCUUACCAAGGCUUUGACGGGUAGCCGGCCUGAGAGGGUGACCGGCCACAUUGGGACUGAGAUACGGCCCAGACUCCUACGGGAGGCAGCAGUGGGGAAUAUUGCACAAUGGGCGGAAGCCUGAUGCAGCAACGCCGCGUGCGGGAUGACGGCCUUCGGGUUGUAAACCGCUUUCGCCUGUGACGAAGCGCGAGUGACGGUAAUGGGUAAAGAAGCACCGGCUAACUACGUG